Molecule: non-coding RNA, 205 nt
Filed under: Candidatus Faecalibacterium faecigallinarum
Lineage: Bacteria; Bacillati; Bacillota; Clostridia; Eubacteriales; Oscillospiraceae
Description: 6S RNA
Rfam family: 6S / SsrS RNA
About the family: E. coli 6S RNA was the first non coding RNA to be sequenced, but its function was unknown until recently. It consists of 184 nucleotides that fold into an extended hairpin structure with a large single-stranded internal bulge.
Source: RNAcentral
AGUAUCCUGCCCGGCACGAUUUGUUGCGGAAUAUAUGAUCCUACUAAUCAUCCAUCGGGAGCCUGGAGUCCGGUGGGGGAUUGCAGACCGCCCCGUCAGGGUCCACCCUGGAGGUUCGAUGCGGGAGCAUGAAACCAUUGGCAGGGCACCCACCUGUCCGUAAGGGUAGGUUUGAUUUAUCCGCAGACGACCGGGCGGGAUUCUU